This 263-nucleotide unclassified non-coding RNA is filed under the name plant metagenome. RNAcentral's name for it is "partial contains small subunit ribosomal RNA, internal transcribed spacer 1, and 5.8S ribosomal RNA". The record is from RNAcentral.
UUUCCGUAGGUGUACCUGCGGAAGGAUCAUUAUUGUAUAACCGAGGUGCGAGGGCUGUCGCUGACCCGAAAGGUCGUGCACGCCCGAGUGCCCUCACACACAUCCAUCUCACCCCUAUGUGCACCACCGCGUGGGUCCCCCUUUGGCUUGUUCGGAGGGGGGCUUACGUUUUCACACAAACUUUGUAUGUAGUGUAGAAUGUAUUUUUUGUUUUUGCGAUCACGCAAUCAAUACAACUUUCAACAACGGAUCUCUUGGCUCUC